UACGAAGGGUGCAAGCGUUAUUCGGAUUUAUUGGGCGUAAAGGGUGUGUAGGUGGUAUGUUAAGUCUGUUGUUAAAGACCCUGGCCUAACCGGGGAAGUGCGGCGGAAACUGGCAUGCUAGAGGAUGAGAGAGAGAAGUGGAAUUCUCGGAGUAGCGGUAAAAUGCGUAGAUAUCGAGAGGAACACCGAUGGCGAAGGCAGCUUCUUGGCUCAUUCCUGACACUGAAACACGAAAGCGUGGGGAGCAAACAGG
RNAcentral lists this ribosomal RNA (253 nucleotides) under uncultured bacterium. RNAcentral describes it as "partial 16S ribosomal RNA". It matches the Rfam family "Bacterial small subunit ribosomal RNA", at positions 524 to 776 of the family's 1533-position model. The record is from RNAcentral.